Long non-coding RNA from Mugil cephalus (flathead mullet), 1322 nucleotides. RefSeq lists it as uncharacterized. The transcript is spliced from 4 exons. The record is from RefSeq and is a predicted model, not a curated record. Lineage: Eukaryota; Metazoa; Chordata; Actinopteri; Mugiliformes; Mugilidae.
GCUUGUCCCCGGCUGGCCAAUGGCGCACCUCUCCCUGACUCACAUGACGUCUUUCUGUGCGCUCCCUGUCCUCUCAGCGCUCAAUCCCGGCGAGUGCAGGCAUCAUUGAAGACUUGACGCCGGCGGAAUUGGACGUCCUCUGUCCCCGGCAGAACUGACCAGGUGUUAUCUUAAGCAAACUUUACUGCCUUACGAUGAAGCUGACCAUCCCGUCGCCGACAAUGACCGUGCUUCGCCGGAGCAACAGACUUUUUCCGUCUCCAAACGGAGAGGCGCAUCGGCGAGACAAUAACGCCCAGAAGUUGUUGAAAUGAAUUGUGAUGAAAGAAGCUGACGCCACAAGAAGAAGAAGAAGAGACAGAAGAGCGCUAACAGCAUUGGCCUCAGCUGCGGAGGGAAGGGAGGGAAGCGGAAACCGCUCGGAGCAGAAUGUUGUGAGGAACUGACGAGAGUUUCCGUCCAGGUCCAGACAUGAAGGAGGCACGCACGCAAGCUACACGCUACACACCACACACACACACCGUGCAACGGCACCUCCAGUCUGUCUGCGGUCUACCAAAACCAGCCACACACGCACAUGGCUGUUGAGGACGGCAGAUAAUGAGGGAGAUGCCAUUCCAGCUGUGAGGAGACGGAAGAAGUCGGCACACAAAGUCACGCAAACACAUACAUACAUACAUACAUACACACGCGCGCACACACACACAGAGAGCCCGGGGGCGCGUGAGCAGGUGAGCAUUAAGUCAGGCAGCUAAACAGAUCACGUCGCGGUAUGAUAUCUGCAGACAGGCAGACAGAGGAGGCCGGUCUGUACCUGCAGGCAGAGAGCAACAACUCACAGCACCCUCGCCAGGAAUUUCCUCCCCCUCCUGAGAGAGAGAGAGAGAGAGAGAGAGAGAGAGAGUGGGCGGGAGGGUGAAGGUGAGAGACGGGUUUAAACUGGGGUUUCCACUUUUUCAUACGCAGACUGUUUUUAGAAGUGUGCAUUCGUUUCCUAAAUUACUAGUUGAUCGUUUCAUAUUUAUAUUAAGCUGAUAAAGUCAAUUAAAUAAAUUAAGAAAAAAGAAAAUUUUGUAAGAUUGUAUUAAAUUUCUAUUUACAGCUCGAAACCUAAAGUUCUAAAGUCCUCCGUUUUAAUGUCGACCACAUGAAUCCACACCCCACUGCGAUAUAAAGACAGAUGUUUCUUCCGUUGCUUUGGAGUAAUUUUAUCCCCUCCUGUAUGAUUUGUCUAUCUGGAAUUACAAGUCGGUUUUGACAGGGCCCACGCUAUUAAUUGUUAAACACUACGGUAUCCAUUACACAAAUUUACUCCGCUGGUU